This 384-nucleotide ribosomal RNA is filed under the name uncultured bacterium. Its description in RNAcentral is "bacterial SSU rRNA". It matches the Rfam family "Bacterial small subunit ribosomal RNA", at positions 29 to 414 of the family's 1533-position model. The record is from RNAcentral.
AUUGAACGCUGGCGGCAUGCCUUACACAUGCAAGUCGAACGGCAGCACGGGAGCAAUCCUGGUGGCGAGUGGCGAACGGGUGAGUAAUAUAUCGGAACGUGCCCAGUAGUGGGGGAUAGCCCGGCGAAAGCCGGAUUAAUACCGCAUGAGACCUGAGGGUGAAAGCGGGGGAUCGCAAGACCUCGCGCUACUGGAGCGGCCGAUAUCAGAUUAGCUAGUUGGUGGGGUAAAGGCCUACCAAGGCAACGAUCUGUAGUUGGUCUGAGAGGACGACCAGCCACACUGGGACUGAGACACGGCCCAGACUCCUACGGGAGGCAGCAGUGGGGAAUUUUGGACAAUGGGCGCAAGCCUGAUCCAGCAAUGCCGCGUGCAGGAAGAAGG